UACGGAGGGUGCGAGCGUUGUCCGGAAUCACUGGGCGUAAAGGGCGCGUAGGCGGCGCAACAAGUCACUUGUGAAAUCUCCGGGCUUAACUCGGAGCGGCCAAGUGAUACUGUCGUGCUAGAGUGCGGAAGGGGCAACUGGAAUUCUCGGUGUAGCGGUGAAAUGCGUAGAUAUCGAGAGGAACACCUGCGGCGAAGGCGGGUUGCUGGGCUGACACUGACGCUGAGGCGCGAAAGCCAGGGGAGCGAACGGG
This 253-nucleotide ribosomal RNA is filed under the name uncultured bacterium. Its description in RNAcentral is "partial 16S ribosomal RNA". It matches the Rfam family "Bacterial small subunit ribosomal RNA", at positions 524 to 776 of the family's 1533-position model. The record is from RNAcentral.